This 23-nucleotide unclassified non-coding RNA is filed under the name Mus musculus (house mouse). Its description in RNAcentral is "oocyte_clustered_small_RNA13696". Lineage: Eukaryota; Metazoa; Chordata; Mammalia; Rodentia; Muridae. The record is from RNAcentral.
UCUGGCGUUUGGAACUUAGGAUG